CUGAGAGGGGUUAGUGAGUAACAGGUAAAGGGACACUGAGAGGGGUUAGUGAGUAACAGGUAAAGGGACACUGAGAGGGGUUAAUGAGUAACAGGUAAAGGGACACUGAGAGGGGUUAAUGAGUAACAGGUAAAGGGACACUGAGAGGGGUUAAUGAGUAACAGGUAAAGGGACACUGAGAGGGGUUAAUGAGUAACAGGUAAAGGGA
Long non-coding RNA from Oncorhynchus keta (chum salmon), 208 nucleotides. RefSeq lists it as uncharacterized. The record is from RefSeq and is a predicted model, not a curated record. The transcript is spliced from 3 exons. Lineage: Eukaryota; Metazoa; Chordata; Actinopteri; Salmoniformes; Salmonidae.